Molecule: small nuclear RNA, 107 nt
Organism: Myotis lucifugus (little brown bat)
Lineage: Eukaryota; Metazoa; Chordata; Mammalia; Chiroptera; Vespertilionidae
Source: Ensembl
GUGCUCUUUUGGGCAGCACAUAUACUAAAACUGGAAUGAUACAGAGAAGAUUAGCAUGACCUCUGCACAAGGAUGACAUACUAACUCGAGAAGCGUUCCCUAUUUAC